AAGACUAUACUUUCAGGGAUCAUUUCUAUAGUUCGUUACUAGAGAAAAUGCCUCCUGAAGAUGGGGCUGUGGGCAAGCCUGAAAGGC
Molecule: small nucleolar RNA, 87 nt
Organism: Rattus norvegicus (Norway rat)
Lineage: Eukaryota; Metazoa; Chordata; Mammalia; Rodentia; Muridae
Product: small nucleolar RNA U3
Source: Ensembl